Xyrauchen texanus (razorback sucker) is the source of this 1072-nucleotide long non-coding RNA. RefSeq lists it as uncharacterized. Lineage: Eukaryota; Metazoa; Chordata; Actinopteri; Cypriniformes; Catostomidae. The transcript has 5 exons. The record is from RefSeq and is a predicted model, not a curated record.
CACCUGCCCCUUGGUGCCCAAAGUGCCCUUUUGUCAAAGAAAAAAUUCCUCUCAUUUUUUUUAUUUAUUAAAGGCCCUUUUGUGAAUGCCUGCCUAUGCCAAAUCUAAAUAUUAGUAAAAUGUAUGAUUAAUAAUUUAGCCUUAAAUAAAAUGAUCCAGAUGAUGACCUUUCACCUGACGACGACCUCAUCCGACCGGGACUAUUCCUCACGCCGCACGGCCGCAGCACGCGCAUUUUUUAAUUACCGGAAGAUAUCUUCAACACCGCGACCGCGGCAGCUGCAAAGACCACUAUUCAGAGAUGCUUUAAAGGAGGAGAUAAUUCCAAAUGGGAAAUAUUGCAUGCCUUCCAUUGCCUGACAGUCCCAGAGAACUGGAAAACAGCUAGCAUUCCAACAGCAGAACUCCAAGCUGUGAAGAAACUGUGCCAGUUCUACAAUAUUGAAGAUGAAGACAAAUUGCAGACAGAAUUGAAGCUCUUGGUGUGCAGCAGCCUCUGUGAGCAUCUCCCUCUUAUUUUCUUGGAGCAGUCAGCCUUGGCAGUCUCUCAGAUCAACUCCAGUAUUAGCAGCAGCAACAACAACAGCAAAGGCAGCAUACUCACUCAAGGAAUAUAGUGUCUGUAUGAUUUGAGGCUCCUCCCCCCAGUUUAGGAGGUUUAAACUAUAAUCUGGAUUUGGAGGGCAAUAAUUAGGGAGAGAGAAGCUGCAAGAGAGUUCAGAUGACAUCACAGUCUUCUUUAAUGCAAAUGAGUAAAAUAUUAGUUGUAUUAAUAUUAUUAUGAUGUUUAUGAAUGUAAUGCAUCAGUCACUGUGUUUACACAUUUAUACAGUAAAUAACACUGUCAGAUCAUUUGAUAUGAAUCAGUGUGAUAUUAAAUAUAUACAGUAUAAAUGAAGAUGUUUCAUGCAUUAAUGACUAUAAAUCACUCAAAUCAACAUCUCUUGAAUAUUUAUCCACACACAUGUGUUAUUAAAAACAAGUUUAAAUGUGAUUUACAACAGGGGCGGAUCUACCGGGGUGGCAAAUGCCACCCUAAAAGAAUACCUUGCCACCCCUGCUGCCACCCCAG